RNAcentral lists this ribosomal RNA (301 nucleotides) under uncultured bacterium. RNAcentral's name for it is "partial 16S ribosomal RNA". It matches the Rfam family "Bacterial small subunit ribosomal RNA", at positions 509 to 807 of the family's 1533-position model. The record is from RNAcentral.
CAGUAGCCGCGGUAAUACAGAGGGUGCGAGCGUUAAUCGGAUUUACUGGGCGUAAAGCGUGCGUAGGCGGCUUCUUAAGUCGGAUGUGAAAUCCCUGAGCUUAACUUAGGAAUUGCAUUCGAUACUGGGAAGCCAGAGUAUGGGAGAGGAUGGUAGAAUUCCAGGUGUAGCGGUGAAAUGCGUAGAGAUCUGGAGGAAUACCGAUGGCGAAGGCAGCCAUCUGGCCUAAUACUGACGCUGAGGUACGAAAGCAUGGGGAGCAAACAGGAUUAGAUACCCCAGUAGUCCCUGUCUCUUAUAC